UGUUUCUGUGAUUAUCUAAAAUUAUACUUUGUCCAUAAGCACAAUAUUUCGUUGAGACUGGUAGUCUCAGGACUUUUUUCUUCCUUUUGUUCUUCAGAAAGAGUUAAUUUUCAGUCAGUGUUCACAAUAGAGGACAUAUCCUCUGAAUAAGCCUAUUUAUCUUUCAUGUACUUCACAGCUUCUGCUUCUUUUUUAUCUUUCUUGAAGGAUACCAGUUUUUUUCAAUAUCUGUUUGUCACUGGAACUGGAGAAAAUUUACAUUGACAAGAUCUCUAAUAUUCCACUGAUUAAUCUAUGUCAGACCUAUGUUGAUUAGUUGCUUUCACAAUGAAGAACAGGAGACAUUCCUGAACUCAUGAAUUUUCUGAGGAUAUCCCGAAUGGACUGCAAAAAGAAGUUAAGACGUCUUUUACAAGAAUGAAGUCCUCAAAACAUUUGAAAUGACAGGAGCGGUACAUUUUCCUUGGGCAGUCUUUCACUGAAGGUUAUGGGCAUUCCAGAGGUUGUAUAGAACCGAGCAGAGGAACUCACAACUGUCUUUGGAAGUGGAGAAGCAUGGUCCCCUUCUAGGACCAUGGAGGUGGCAGUGUUCAAACCAAACA
Passer domesticus (house sparrow) is the source of this 602-nucleotide long non-coding RNA. RefSeq lists it as uncharacterized. The record is from RefSeq and is a predicted model, not a curated record. The transcript has 3 exons. NCBI's taxonomy places the organism in Eukaryota, Metazoa, Chordata, Aves, Passeriformes, Passeridae.